UGGGGAAUAUUGGACAAUGGGCGAAAGCCUUAUCCAGCCAUGCCGCGUGUGUGAAGAAGGUCUUCGGAUUGUAAAGCACUUUAAGUUGGGAGGAAGGGCAGUAAGCGAAUACCUUGCUGUUUUGACGUUACCGACAGAAUAAGCACCGGCUAACUCUGUGCCAGCAGCCGCGGUAAUACAGAGGGUGCAAGCGUUAAUCGGAAUUACUGGGCGUAAAGCGCGCGUAGGUGGUUCGUUAAGUUGAAUGUGAAAGCCCCGGGCUCAACCUGGGAACUGCAUCCAAAACUGGCGAGCUAGAGUAGGGCAGAGGGUGGUGGAAUUUCCUGUGUAGCGGUGAAAUGCGUAGAUAUAGGAAGGAACACCAGUGGCGAAGGCGACCACCUGGGCUCAUACUGACACUGAGGUGCGAAAGCGUGGGGAGCAAACAGG
RNAcentral lists this ribosomal RNA (429 nucleotides) under Pseudomonadota bacterium. RNAcentral describes it as "Proteobacteria bacterium partial 16S ribosomal RNA". It matches the Rfam family "Bacterial small subunit ribosomal RNA", at positions 355 to 776 of the family's 1533-position model. Lineage: Bacteria; Pseudomonadati; Pseudomonadota. The record is from RNAcentral.